RNAcentral lists this ribosomal RNA (328 nucleotides) under Staphylococcus aureus. Its description in RNAcentral is "partial 23S ribosomal RNA". It matches the Rfam family "Bacterial large subunit ribosomal RNA", at positions 659 to 985 of the family's 2925-position model. The record is from RNAcentral. Lineage: Bacteria; Bacillati; Bacillota; Bacilli; Caryophanales; Staphylococcaceae.
UGUGGAGCCGUAGCGAAAGCGAGUCUGAAUAGGGCGUUUAGUAUUUGGUCGUAGACCCGAAACCAGGUGAUCUACCCUUGGUCAGGUUGAAGUUCAGGUAACACUGAAUGGAGGACCGAACCGACUUACGUUGAAAAGUGAGCGGAUGAACUGAGGGUAGCGGAGAAAUUCCAAUCGAACCUGGAGAUAGCUGGUUCUCUCCGAAAUAGCUUUAGGGCUAGCCUCAAGUGAUGAUUAUUGGAGGUAGAGCACUGUUUGGACGAGGGGCCCCUCUCGGGUUACCGAAUUCAGACAAACUCCGAAUGCCAAUUAAUUUAACUUGGGAGUC